Molecule: long non-coding RNA, 818 nt
Organism: Anopheles merus
Lineage: Eukaryota; Metazoa; Arthropoda; Insecta; Diptera; Culicidae
Exons: 3
Source: RefSeq, a predicted model, not a curated record
CUUGCUGCAGUGACAUGCAGUUUCUCAAAUUAUCACCCUCAUCGAAGCAGGCCGGAGGUCGCGUCCGGGCAAACGAAGGAACGAAUGAAAAAAGUCGGACAAAAAUCGCACAAGAUGUGAUGAAGAAUCUGCUGCAAUGUCAAAUAUUGACAUCGAUCGAACGCCUUCACUACCUCAAAAGAUCGAAAGUCGGUGUAACAGUGAGUCAGCUCGUUAGCAGGAUUUGUUUAGCCUUCGAAAAGACGCUCGAAAGUUAGGCAUUUGUAAGGUGUGCUUUUGAAGAGUGAAACAUCCUCGUGGCGCGGCAUGAAAAAUCAACCAGCAUUCUUCAGUUUGGCCAAAGACGACUGCCAGCUGCCAUAAUCGUCAAGCGUUCUCGGUGCACCACACGCACGCCUACCACGCGAAGGUGCUGAUCCGUCGGGACCAAUACCAUCCCACCCUCCACAGGCACCGGCUCGAUUGUCAACCAACUGUAAUCAACUAACAAGAACGGCCAUAAUCCGGGAUGAUUGGUUCACGGUUUAGCAAGGAAUGCAGCAGCAUCGUGUGGGUUCGGAAAUUGAAUUUAUUGAUUUGCAACCCUCGGCCGAAGAAACCCGGCUAAAAAAGGAUGGCUUCCUGUAGCAAAGAAAGAUGGCUCAUUCAAAUGACAGCACACGAACCAUCUAAGCAUACACGAGCGAGCGAGUCCCGGCUGCAGUUCAAACAUAAUUCAUCAAAAUGAAGGAUGAUCGAUAACUGGAGAAUGGUGCCAUAUAAAUACAGUAACUGAAGAUAACGCUUAAGGUGUUACACAUGCGUCUAACAACAUGAGC